GACGAACGCUGGCGGCGUGCUUAACACAUGCAAGUCGAACGGAAAGGCCCUGCUUUUGUGGGCUGCUCGAGUGGCGAACGGGUGAGUAACACGUGAGUAACCUGCUCUUGACUUUGGGAUAACUUCAGGAAACUGGGGCUAAUACCGGAUAGGAGCUCCUGCUGCAUGGUGGGCGUUGGAAAGUUUCGGCGGUUGGGGAUGGACUCGCGGCUUACCAGCUUGUUGGUGGGGUAGUGGCUUACCAAGGCUUUGACGGGUAGCCGGCCUGAGAGGGUGACCGGGCACAUUAGUCCUGCGGUACGGCCCAGACUCCUACGUGGGACAGCAGUGGGAAAUAUUACACAAUGGUCGGAAGUCUGUGGCAACAACGCCGCGUGCGGGAUGACGGCCUUCGGGUUGAGAACAGCUUUCGCCUGUGACGAAGCGUGAGUGACGGUAAUGGAUAAAGAAGCACCGGCUAACUACGUG
This 468-nucleotide ribosomal RNA is filed under the name uncultured bacterium. Its description in RNAcentral is "partial 16S ribosomal RNA". It matches the Rfam family "Bacterial small subunit ribosomal RNA", at positions 28 to 507 of the family's 1533-position model. The record is from RNAcentral.